Molecule: transfer RNA, 71 nt
Filed under: Loxodonta africana (African savanna elephant)
Lineage: Eukaryota; Metazoa; Chordata; Mammalia; Proboscidea; Elephantidae
Rfam family: tRNA
About the family: Transfer RNA (tRNA) molecules are approximately 80 nucleotides in length.
Source: Rfam by way of RNAcentral
ACAUUGGUGUUUCAGUGGUAGAAUUUUCACCUUCCAUGCAGGAGACCUGGGUUUGAUUCCUAGCCAUUGUA